CGAGAAAAAAAUAAUAUUAUUUUUAGAAAUUUAGAACGCCGAUGCUAACGUAUUGGAAUAUUGGCAAAGGAGUGGACUAAGUUUUGUAGAGCUGGGCGAUAUCCGUUUUAUUUGAGCGUUUGAUUCGACGUUUGUAGUUGGUUUUCAUUCACUUAUUUAUUUAUUUAUUUACUUUUCUUUUUUUUCAAUGGUCCUUAUUGUCUCACUCUAUGUAACCAAAUUUAUUGACUAAAUGAAUGAAGCAGGUAGCGUGCUAUCUUUCUCUCUCAAAAAAAAAAAAUUUUCUUAGAAUCCUUCUAAAAUUAUUAUUAUUACUAUAAAAUUCCA
Molecule: long non-coding RNA, 327 nt
Filed under: Ananas comosus (pineapple)
Lineage: Eukaryota; Viridiplantae; Streptophyta; Magnoliopsida; Poales; Bromeliaceae
Description: long non-coding RNA (ACOM_LNC040140)
Source: RNAcentral